AUUGCUGCAUAAAACAGCUAGUUAUCGAUUUUUGAGAGAUAUUUUCUAUUAUAAUUCUUGAGUUUUAACUCGCUUGGCCCAUCACUUUAUAAACUUCCUAUAUUAACUUUCCAAUAAUAAAUAAAUUUGAAACUUUGAUACCUCCAAAUGGCCUAAAAAGUAAAAAAGACCAACAUCACCGAUAAGCUAGACAAUUAAUCGGAUAAUUAUUGUUUAGACAAUUCCAUAACAGUUUUCGUACCCGAUUUUUAGGAUAUCUAACGGCAGACGAGAGAUGGACCUGGCAGAAGAAUUGAGUCAAUGGAAUUCAUCGUAUUACGCGAAUUGGUCUGCAACUCAACUGGUCACUGAUGCACCUGAAGAUGAUGUUCUGCCUCCUUUCAGCUUCUUCAGCUUCUUCUCCUCUGGCUACUUGAAAUUCCAGAGGAUCGAGUGGAAGCUGAGAUUGUCAACUAUGAUCAUAGUGUUUACGAUCGGUAGCGUGUGUUUGAUUCUGAACGGGUACAUUGUGGGGGUGUUCGCACUGCACAAACAGUUCCGCAAACUGGAGUAUUACCCUCUUGCUCUCAACUGUCUAUUCGAUAUCUUCGGACCCGGACUCGCU
This is a long non-coding RNA of Symsagittifera roscoffensis, 604 nucleotides long. RefSeq lists it as uncharacterized. NCBI's taxonomy places the organism in Eukaryota, Metazoa, Xenacoelomorpha, Acoela, Convolutidae. The transcript is spliced from 3 exons. The record is from RefSeq and is a predicted model, not a curated record.